This 759-nucleotide ribosomal RNA is filed under the name uncultured Pseudomonadota bacterium. RNAcentral's name for it is "bacterial SSU rRNA". It matches the Rfam family "Bacterial small subunit ribosomal RNA", at positions 28 to 776 of the family's 1533-position model. Lineage: Bacteria; Pseudomonadati; Pseudomonadota. The record is from RNAcentral.
AUUGAACGCUGGCGGCAGGCCUAACACAUGCAAGUCGAACGGUAACAGGAAACAGCUUGCUGUUUCGCUGACGAGUGGCGGACGGGUGAGUAAUGUCUGGGAAACUGCCUGAUGGAGGGGGAUAACUACUGGAAACGGUAGCUAAUACCGCAUAACGUCGCAAGACCAAAGAGGGGGACCCUCGGGCCUCUUGCCACCAGAUGUGCCCAGAUGGGAUUAGCUUGUUGGUGGGGUAACGGCUCACCAAGGCGACGAUCCCUAGCUGGUCUGAGAGGAUGACCAGCCACACUGGAACUGAGACACGGUCCAGACUCCUACGGGAGGCAGCAGUGGGGAAUAUUGCACAAUGGGCGCAAGCCUGAUGCAGCCAUGCCGCGUGUAUGAAGAAGGCCUUCGGGUUGUAAAGUACUUUCAGCGGGGAGGAAGGGAGUAAAGUUAAUACCUUUGCUCAUUGACGUUACCCGCAGAAGAAGCACCGGCUAACUCCGUGCCAGCAGCCGCGGUAAUACGGAGGGUGCAAGCGUUAAUCGGAAUUACUGGGCGUAAAGCGCACGCAGGCGGUUUGUUAAGUCAGAUGUGAAAUCCCCGGGCUCAACCUGGGAACUGCAUCUGAUACUGGCAAGCUUGAGUCUCGUAGAGGGGGGUAGAAUUCCAGGUGUAGCGGUGAAAUGCGUAGAGAUCUGGAGGAAUACCGGUGGCGAAGGCGGCCCCCUGGGCGAAGACUGACGCUCAGGUGCGAAAGCGUGGGGAGCAAACAGG